RNAcentral lists this ribosomal RNA (460 nucleotides) under uncultured bacterium. RNAcentral's name for it is "partial 16S ribosomal RNA". It matches the Rfam family "Bacterial small subunit ribosomal RNA", at positions 338 to 795 of the family's 1533-position model. The record is from RNAcentral.
CCUACGGGAGGCAGCAGUGAGGAAUAUUGGUCAAUGGACGAGAGUCUGAACCAGCCAAGUAGCGUGAAGGAUGACUGCCCUAUGGGUUGUAAACUUCUUUUAUAUGGGAAUAAAAUGUUCCACGUGUGGGAUUUUGUAUGUACCAUAUGAAUAAGGAUCGGCUAACUCCGUGCCAGCAGCCGCGGUAAUACGGAGGAGCCGAGCGUUAUCCGGAUUUAUUGGGUUUAAAGGGAGCGUAGGUGGAUUAUUAAGUCAGUUGUGAAAGUUUGCGGCUCAACCGUAAAAUUGCAGUUGAAACUGGCAGUCUUGAGGACAGUAGAGGUGGGCGGAAUGCGUGGUGUAGCGGUGAAAUGCUUAGAUAUCACGAAGAACUCCGAUUGCGAAGGCAGUUCACUGGACUGCAACUGACACUGAGGCUCGAAAGUGUGGGUAUCAAACAGGAUUAGAUACCCCAGUAGUC